RNAcentral lists this ribosomal RNA (435 nucleotides) under uncultured bacterium. RNAcentral's name for it is "bacterial SSU rRNA". It matches the Rfam family "Bacterial small subunit ribosomal RNA", at positions 958 to 1392 of the family's 1533-position model. The record is from RNAcentral.
AACGCGAAGAACCUUACCUAAGCUUGACAUCCUUCUGACCUCUCCCUAAUCGGAGAUUUCCCUUCGGGGACAGAAGUGACAGGUGGUGCAUGGUUGUCGUCAGCUCGUGUCGUGAGAUGUUGGGUUAAGUCCCGCAACGAGCGCAACCCUUGCCUUUAGUUGCCAGCAUUAAGUUGGGCACUCUAGAGGGACUGCCAGGGAUAACCUGGAGGAAGGUGGGGAUGACGUCAAAUCAUCAUGCCCCUUAUGCUUAGGGCUACACACGUGCUACAAUGGGUGGUACAGAGGGCAGCCAAGUCGUGAGGCGGAGCUAAUCCCUUAAAGCCAUUCUCAGUUCGGAUUGUAGGCUGAAACUCGCCUACAUGAAGCUGGAGUUACUAGUAAUCGCAGAUCAGAAUGCUGCGGUGAAUGCGUUCCCGGGUCUUGUACACACCG